This 717-nucleotide ribosomal RNA is filed under the name Triticum aestivum (bread wheat). RNAcentral describes it as "partial small subunit ribosomal RNA". Lineage: Eukaryota; Viridiplantae; Streptophyta; Magnoliopsida; Poales; Poaceae. The record is from RNAcentral.
AUGGACCCUUCCAUCCCUUUUUCCCGUGCAUAUGCAUCGGACUCGGAUGACGAUGGUCCGGAUGAACAAGUUGAUGCGGAGGGGUUCACGGUGAAGGAAGCCGAAGCUUUCGAGAAGGUAUUUGGUCGGGAUCAUCGGACUACAUUGUUCAAGGAUGUUAGUCUCGCAGAUGAAGCCGUGAUAGAUGGUGGCCAAUGUGUACCUCUUGGGGUUAGGCCAAUCUCUUAUCGUGAUUUGGGAGAUGACGAGAACCGCAUUGCUAAAGGUUCUAAGUUCGACACCUUCUUGGAAUUGAAGAUGUGGCUCGACAACUACUCGGUUACGCAUUAUCGUCCACAUAAGGUGGUGCAUUCGGACGUCAAAGUGCGCUACACGGUUGCAUGUGCAUGUGAAGAUGAAAUAUGUCCAUGGAUUGUGCGUGCAAGACCAUGGAAAGGAGGUCCCACUUGGCACGUAGUGAGUUGUGUGCCAACUCACAUGUGCCAAGGCAAAAGGGUGGAUGGCAAGAUUGUGUCCCAAAACCACAAACAACUCACGUCUGAGUUCAUCGCUUACAGGCUCUCCAACUCAAUAUCCACACUUCCAACAAUGAGCGUCCAACAUGUCAUUGACCUUGUGAAAGCCAUCUUUCACUACAAGGUGAAGUACGGCAAGGCAUGGAAGGCAAUGAAGUGUGCCAACUCACUCGGAUCUGAAGGAUUUGGGAGAGGGGAUUGA